Molecule: long non-coding RNA, 774 nt
Organism: Cyprinus carpio carpio
Lineage: Eukaryota; Metazoa; Chordata; Actinopteri; Cypriniformes; Cyprinidae
Source: Ensembl
CACUUAUACUGUGUGUGCUGGAUUGAGGAAUUAGACACUCGGCGUACAAGAGAGCUCAGGGUCACACGAGGACAGAGUCUCAGAGCUUGACCUGUCGGUUCUGUUUAUUUUCAGAAACAGAGAGGAGCGAGCGUGCAGAGAGCUACCUCACAAACAGAGACAGAGCUGCGAGCUGCGCAUAAGUUCUCCCGCCAUUCCGCUCGCCCACCCCACAGCAGAUGGUUUAAAUUACAGCAGAAGCUGUAACGAGAUUCCUGCACGAUUAAUACGCAGAGCAGUUUUGGGAUUUCAAUACGAGGGAUUGGAGCUAAUGCGAUUAUCAAGAGAGGAGCAGGGGGAGAGGAGACGAUGAAAAACAGGUUUGGAGGAGAGAUGAACGCAGGGGAAUGGGGUGAGAGGAAGAGACUCUGGUGCGUUCCAAGCAUCAUGUCAUCUUCGUUACCGAGAGCUGUUAUUAGCCAUUUGUAAUUGUUUUGCCAGCUGUCCCAAAUGCCAGCGGCUGUGCACCAGAUACACAAGUGGACUCUGGACACUUUGGGAGAUGCGAACAGCAAACAUACCCACAUUUCUCUCUCUCUCAACACCUGUGCCAUUCUGUGGGGGUGACAGAUUUUACGAGCAGAAAACCUGAUUUGCAGGGGGUUAACCGCCUGUGUGACCUCUAAACCUUGACCUUUGGUGACCUCUGAGCUGUCAGGUGCAAGAGUGGUGGGAUAAGGGCACGACAGUCUGGACAGGGGGAUUUCCACUCAGACGCUAGCAUGCAAACAAAUA